GAGGAAAGAGGGAGGCGUGCUUAACACAUGCAAGUCGAACGAUGAAGCCUAUCUGGCUGGGCGGAUUAGUGGCGAACUGGUGAGUAACACGUGAGUGACCUGCCCUUGAUCCGUGGAUAAGUCCGUGAAACUGGGUCUAAUACCGGAUAGGAGCGCUGUGGUCAUGACGGGUGCUGGAAAGAUCUUGUGGGUUUGUUUGUGCUCGCGGCUUGUUGGCUUGUUGUGGAGGUAAUGGCUAACCUAGGCGACGACGGGUAGCCGGCCUGGGAGGGUGACCGGCCACACUGGGACUGAGACACCACCCAGACCCCACAGGGAGGCAGCAGUGGGGAAUAUUGCACAAUGGGCGAAAGCCUGAUGCAGCGCAGCCGCGUGGGGGAUGACGGCCUUCGGGUUGUAAGAAAAAAUCAGCAGGGAAGAAGCGAAAGUGACGGUACCUGCAGAAGAAGCACCGGCUAACUACGUG
RNAcentral lists this ribosomal RNA (466 nucleotides) under uncultured bacterium. Its description in RNAcentral is "partial 16S ribosomal RNA". It matches the Rfam family "Bacterial small subunit ribosomal RNA", at positions 38 to 507 of the family's 1533-position model. The record is from RNAcentral.